Molecule: small RNA, 88 nt
Filed under: Klebsiella pneumoniae
Lineage: Bacteria; Pseudomonadati; Pseudomonadota; Gammaproteobacteria; Enterobacterales; Enterobacteriaceae
Description: RtT sRNA
Rfam family: RtT RNA
About the family: This family represents a bacterial cis-regulatory element known as RtT RNA. The exact function of RtT is unknown although it is thought that it may be involved in changing the cellular response in relation to amino acid starvation.
Source: RNAcentral
UCGACUCGAGCGAAGCGAGAGAACGUUGCGUCAGCAACGGCCCGCAGGGCGAGCCACGAAGUGGUGAGUCAUCCUCUAUCACCGACCA